AAGCUGUUGUGACCUAAACCAAAGUCAAGUAGGUGAGUGUAACAUUCAUGAACGCAUGUGCUACCUAGAAUUCCAUUUUGGGGAGGGCCCGAGAACUGCACGAGACGCGUCCGCGCGCGAGAUCUAUCUCCGCUCGCUGCUGCUGCUGUCGCGCGGCACAUGACAAGCGAGUGCGCGGUGCAGAACCCAGGUGAAUGCUUUCAGGAGGCGGCGGUGACAGUCAGGACGACGCUCCCGACGAGUCAACUUGAUUACAUUUGGGCGCAUCCAAGAGAAGAAAAAACAUGCAUGUCUUCUCCGAAGAAACUUGUAUGCGGAAUCAGAACUGGACCCUAAGAUCGACAAACUUUCCUACAACUGUCAAUGCGUAGGCUACAAUCAAAACAGUGGAGAAAAAUGAGUUGAUAUAUCGCUCAAACAAUGGAAGACAAGCAGAGCCCAGCGAUUUGACCCACAGGAUUAACAAGUCAGUGUUCAUGACAGAGGCCACGAAGGCCCCCCCACACACACACACACACACCCACACCCUAUCCUGAGCCCGAUGCUUGUGUGAAACUCAACCCAUGACUCUCUAAUGGAAGUUAACAUCAGCAUUCUAAGUGGACAUGUGCAUAUCAGAUUCCAGAAUUGUGAUGACCUUAAUUAGCAGUUAGUUAAUUUGCAAUUUAAGACUGGGUAUGUUUUGUAGUAGAUGCAAAAUAAAGCCUAAUGAAAACAUCAGCUGUUAUGCAGUCAGAUUACUUCUAUUUAAAGUUCCUUAGCAGAGUAAAUUUCUAAAUAUGUGACGGACGCACUGCUAAGGUGUGAGUUUCCCAACACUAAUAUAAGACACAGAUGAGCAGCUACUUCAGCCAGGGCAAGACAACACAAAGAAUUGCACAAAUGGCUUGAUAAAGGGCUGGGUACAUUCUUAUGCCAUGCCCUACACUCACAACCACGUACUUUCUUGACAAUCCUUCACAGAUGUGCAAGCCAAGGGCUAAAUGAAAACCAAAAAUGCCAUACCUGCAGAAAGCUGAGCCAGCCAACACAUGGGUGUCAGUUUGCUCGUGUCGUGUAGGAGCAUUUUACGAGGUGAUGUUAAUGGGAUACAGAAAGGAGGUCCUUCUUCUGUAUGCUUCAUUUCAGGGUAUGUCAUCCCUCAGGCCUCCUGAACCUGGGCUGAGGUCAGAAACAGGAGAACCAGAUAGAUUAUCCAGACCAAAUACAAGUUGUUCACACACACACUUUAGAGACACAGAAGACUUUAAAGGUUACACAUCUUGUGGAUUCAUGUACUGGAUAAUGCAAAAAAACAGAUGUUAAUUUCUACUCAGAAAUGUUUCCUAUUGCUCUCUUGCUUGUGUGUUAGUAAUGUUAAAGAUAAUAAAAGAAGAAUUUCUGGUAUUCAUUUUAACUCCAGCCCUCACACCCACACGAGGACAACAAGUCACAUGCUUUCUCAUUUCCACCAGAAGCAACAAGUCAAACAGUCAGGAUAUCGGCUUCCAGUAUAAACUCACAUUGGAUUUGAAUCAGUCUCGUAAAUUUCAAUAAAAGUGAAUCUUUGACACUGCAUCUUUAAUUCUGUCUUCUUUUUUUUUACAGAUAGAACUGGCUCAAUGACUGUAAUAAACUCUGUUCUUCAAAUAAAUCAUCAAGAUGACAGUUUCAAUGCUACAUUAC
This is a long non-coding RNA of Cyprinus carpio carpio, 1665 nucleotides long. NCBI's taxonomy places the organism in Eukaryota, Metazoa, Chordata, Actinopteri, Cypriniformes, Cyprinidae. The record is from Ensembl.